CCUACGGGGGGCUGCAGUGAGGAAUAUUGGUCAAUGGGCGGAAGCCUGAACCAGCCAAGUAGCGUGCAGGAUGACGGCCCUACGGGUUGUAAACUGCUUUUAUACGGGAAUAACGCGCCUUACGUGUAGGGCUUUGCAUGUACCGUAUGAAUAAGGACCGGCUAAUUCCGUGCCAGCAGCCGCGGUAAUACGGAAGGUCCGGGCGUUAUCCGGAUUUAUUGGGUUUAAAGGGAGCGUAGGCCGCAUGUCAAGCGUGCUGUGAAAUGUCCGGGCUCAACCCGGGCCUUGCAGCGCGAACUGGCGUGCUCGAGUCCGCGGAAAGCAGGCGGAAUUCGUCGUGUAGCGGUGAAAUGCUUAGAUAUGACGAAGAACCCCGAUUGCGAAGGCAGCUUGCUGCAGCGGAACUUACGCUGAUGCUCGAAAGCGCGGGUAUCGAACAGGAGUAGAUACCCGAGUAGUC
RNAcentral lists this ribosomal RNA (460 nucleotides) under uncultured bacterium. RNAcentral describes it as "partial 16S ribosomal RNA". It matches the Rfam family "Bacterial small subunit ribosomal RNA", at positions 338 to 795 of the family's 1533-position model. The record is from RNAcentral.